Molecule: non-coding RNA, 1493 nt
Organism: Macaca mulatta (Rhesus monkey)
Lineage: Eukaryota; Metazoa; Chordata; Mammalia; Primates; Cercopithecidae
Source: RefSeq, a predicted model, not a curated record
CCUGACGGCCCCGCCCCGCACCCCAAGUUUUGGGAGGGCUUCGCUCUCGCACCCGGCUCCAGGACCCAACGGGCACGCGCUCUCCGCGGCUUUCAGCGACCCUGCAGCCCCCACGCACCCGCCUGCAAAGCCGAGGGUUAAGCUGGGGAAAGGGGGCCUUUAGGAAGGAAACCCCCCUGGAAAAGCCCGGCAGCUCCAAAAACACGAAUGAAACGCAGCUCCAGCCUCCGCCCCUCCAGGUGCUGGUGGCCCCUCUUGCGGUUUGUCUGAGGCUAGGGGACUAGGCGCAUCGCCUAGCGAGACCCCAGUGGCCUUUCUGGCCAGUUUGUAACCGGAACUAGACCGACCCCAGCGCUGGAGCGGGUGCUCACGACCGAGAGUGGUGCCCUGCUUGGCACUGCCACUGGAUCCUCUGGCUUAUGAAGCCGUCCAGGACAGGACUGGGGGGUGGUGGUCCUUAGUUCUCUGAGUGGGGUCAUGCAGAGUGGUUUCCUCGAGGUCCCACGCCCGUCUCAGGAAGCCGGAAACGCAAGAUGCCGGGCGCUCGGCCCGAACCCGUGCCGCGGCCCAAGGGGCAAGGCGGAUACCCAGGCGAGGCCUAAAGGGCCGGACUCUGACCCCCCCACCUCCAGACACUGCAGGGCUCCGCCGGCCAGAGGCGGCCUUGGCGCCAACUACACCUACCAGCGAGGGCCCCCGGGCCCACCGAUGCGCCCUCCUAGCCCCGCGCUCCUUCGGGGAGUUCCGAGGUGACUCAGAGACGCAACUGACACAAUUCUGAGGCCCCCAGGUAAGCCUGGCGCUACGGGAUGGAGACGUUACCUGGUUUUGAAAGGCCCAGCUAAACCAGCGAGACCCGCGUGCGCUCCGCGGGGAAGCAAGCCUCCCCAGGGGCGCACCUGGAAGCGCUCCCGCCCCCUGGUCCUUAUCUCUGAAUCGAAACCGAACCUGGACCCAUCUAGAUAAUUGGACUGAGCAAUUAAGGACGCUUCACUCUCAACUGUUAGCAUUUUUUCCUAAGGCUCUCGGAGGCGGAAUCAGCUGGAAAGGAACAUUGCUAAGUAGGAAUUUCAGGCACCUGUGAACUGAGCCUACUCAACAAUCGGCCCUUACUCUUAACCAAACUCAGCAAAGGAAGAAAGACCAAGUUGCUGAGGAUGCACAGAGCCACAUGGGUGCGGUCCUUUAGAAACAGGAAUUCUGAGUCAGUAGAUAUGGAAAUGUUAUGGUUUGCAGUCUUCAGAACAUGCUGCUUUUAUGCCGUUCACAUGAUUCUCCUUGGACUGCGACGUAAAGUCCAAGAAACAAGUCGAAUGUUUGUAUAUUCAUAGAAAAAACAUCUGUAAGGGUGCACACCGACUGUUAACCACGGUUUCGCGGGUAGGGGAAACAAGGGAGUUACAUUUUUUUACUACAUUGACUUUGGAUUUUGUAUUUUUCCAGUUGUAUUUACUUUCAUAAUUUAGAAAGCUAAUAAAACAUGUUUAAAGAAA